GCGGCUGCGCGCAGAGGUGGUGGGGGCGGUGCCGGAGCCACCUGAGGGGGCGGAGCCGCCCCGCCCCGCCCCGCCCACCGCGCACCUGCUUCCACCUGACGUGGACUCUGGAGGUCGUCAACCGCUGUUCCAAAUACAUAACAUUGAGUUUCUAAGGCUGUCAACUAUACAAACAUCCUUGAAAAGAUACUCCAGAUCCAGGGAAGUCAUUGCCUGCACUCACAAGAUGUUCAGAAAUGGGAGAGUCUUUUGGAGAGAACAUCCAGUACGAUGCUGAGUGGACGUGGGGACAGCAGACACCCUUUGAAGGCCUUGGGCGGUUCUUCAUUCCUGAGAGGUCCUGCCCCAUGCCCAGGAGGAAGGAAUGCUUCGCAGAGAGGCCAAGAAGAAUCUGAACAGGCAGGCCUUACCGGGUCUCCCCACUCAGUCGGUUACCAUUAGAUCUUACCUUGUCCAAUCAUACUUCUAUACAGCUGUCCAUUCUUCAUAGAGCCCAAGCAUAAGAACAGUUUUCCCUGGGUUUUGGGGUAAUUUGCGAAGGCUCCCAUGUCACACAAGGCUUUGAUUAAAUAAAUUUGUUAUACUUUU
Molecule: non-coding RNA, 588 nt
Organism: Microcebus murinus (gray mouse lemur)
Lineage: Eukaryota; Metazoa; Chordata; Mammalia; Primates; Cheirogaleidae
Source: RefSeq, a predicted model, not a curated record